This 597-nucleotide ribosomal RNA is filed under the name Trichoderma aureoviride. RNAcentral describes it as "eukaryotic LSU rRNA". The stretch from base 234 to 387 matches the Rfam family "5.8S ribosomal RNA". Lineage: Eukaryota; Fungi; Ascomycota; Sordariomycetes; Hypocreales; Hypocreaceae. The record is from RNAcentral.
UUCUGUAGGGUGAACCUGCGGAGGGAUCAUUACCGAGUUUACAACUCCCAAACCCAAUGUGAACGUUACCAAACUGUUGCCUCGGCGGGAUCUCUGCCCCGGGUGCGUCGCAGCCCCGGACCAAGGCGCCCGCCGGAGGACCAACCAAAACUCUUAUUGUAUACCCCCUCGCGGGUUUUUUUAUAAUCUGAGCCUUCUCGGCGCCUCUCGUAGGCGUUUCGAAAAUGAAUCAAAACUUUCAACAACGGAUCUCUUGGUUCUGGCAUCGAUGAAGAACGCAGCGAAAUGCGAUAAGUAAUGUGAAUUGCAGAAUUCAGUGAAUCAUCGAAUCUUUGAACGCACAUUGCGCCCGCCAGUAUUCUGGCGGGCAUGCCUGUCCGAGCGUCAUUUCAACCCUCGAACCCCUCCGGGGGGUCGGCGUUGGGGAUCGGCCCUGCCUUGGCGGUGGCCGUCUCCGAAAUACAGUGGCGGUCUCGCCGCAGCCUCUCCUGCGCAGUAGUUUGCACACUCGCAUCGGGAGCCCGGCGCGUCCACAGCCGUUAAACACCCCAACUUGGUGAAAUUUGACCUCGGUUGGGAGUGUACGCACAGGUCACC